RNAcentral lists this long non-coding RNA (482 nucleotides) under Heterocephalus glaber (naked mole-rat). RNAcentral's name for it is "lncRNA (ENSHGLG00100041129.1)". Lineage: Eukaryota; Metazoa; Chordata; Mammalia; Rodentia; Bathyergidae. The record is from RNAcentral.
GUGAGGCCUGGCAGGCUGGGGACACACCAUUCCAGGGGGCGACAACCCUCACAGACUGUGGCUGGAGGGGUCUGGGGUGACAGAGCUGGUGGUCAGCUCUGUGCUGAGGGAGGACAGCAGGGAAGAGGGGGUGGCCCUGUCUCAUCCCAAAGGAGCUGGGAUCUAGGAGCAGGGAGCAAACUCCCCAGCAGGGAGUGGGGUAGGUGGGGACAGGACAAAGAGUGCUGGGAGAGAGGAGCAGUGCUGGGGCCUGCGGAGGCCUGGGCAGGGGGCUAGCUGGGCCUCUGAGGACAAAAGCAGCAGUGAUGGCAGAGGCUCUUCUCUUGCUGCUUCCUGGAUGCCAUGGAUUGAGUAGCUUUCCUCCGCCAUGCCUUUUCUGCUUUGGAGCCAACUGACCACAGACUGAACCCUCUGAAACUGUGAGCCACAAUAAAUCUCUCUCCUUUAAAUUUCAAUUGUUGGGUAUUUUGUCUGGAAAAUGG